AGGGGCUUAGAGAGGAGCUGGAGCUGGGGUGUUGCCAUGGCUGGGAUACAUAUGGGUGUGCUUCAUUUGCAUAUGAUUUGCAUACAAUUUUCUAGAUGCCUGUUAUUUGUGAACUAUUAGGCAUUGAUUUGCAUACUCAUUUGCGCAUUUAUUUUUCACGAUUGUUCUGCAGAACAAGGGCUCCCUCCAAGCCCCCCUGCCCCUGCUCCACAGGCCCCGCCCCCGGCCGUCGCUCCGCCCACCGAGCGCUACAAGCCCCGCCCCCGCUCCGCCCCUCACACCCUAUUGGUCACUCUGCUCAGGAGCAAUCAGCCCCUCCUGGAGGCGGAGCUUCUGAGCGUGGCUCCGCCUCUCUGCGCCCGCUCCAUUGUAAGCAGCCAAACCUGGGGGGUUCAAUGGGGGUCCUAUGGG
Non-coding RNA from Meleagris gallopavo (turkey), 411 nucleotides. The record is from RefSeq and is a predicted model, not a curated record. NCBI's taxonomy places the organism in Eukaryota, Metazoa, Chordata, Aves, Galliformes, Phasianidae.